RNAcentral lists this ribosomal RNA (467 nucleotides) under uncultured bacterium. Its description in RNAcentral is "partial 16S ribosomal RNA". It matches the Rfam family "Bacterial small subunit ribosomal RNA", at positions 28 to 507 of the family's 1533-position model. The record is from RNAcentral.
GACGAACGCUGGCGGCGUGCUUAACACAUGCAAGUCGAACGGAAAGGCUCCAGCUUGCUGGAGUACUCGAGUGGCGAACGGGUGAGUAACACGUGGGUAAUCUGCCCUGCACUCUGGGAUAAGCCUGGGAAACUGGGUCUAAUACUGGAUAUGACCUUUCUCCUUAUGGGGUUUGGUGGAAAGUUUUUCGGUGUUGGAUGAGCCCGCGGCCUAUCAGCUUGUUGGUGGGGUGAUGGCCUACCAAGGCGACGACGGGUAGCCGGCCUGAGAGGGUGAUCGGCCACAUUGGGACUGAGAUACGGCCCAGACUCCUACGGGAGGCAGCAGUGGGGAAUAUUGCACAAUGGGCGGAAGCCUGAUGCAGCGACGCCGCGUGAGGGAUGACGGCCUUCGGGUUGUAAACCUCUUUCAGCAGGGACGAAGCGUAAGUGACGGUACCUGCAGAAGAAGCACCGGCUAACUAUGUG